UUUUUUUUUGUUUCUCAAUGUAUAUUUUGAAUUUGGGCCUGAAAUUUUUAGGGAUCAUACAUUCAUGUGAUGUGAACAUUCACAAUUUUUUUUUCAUUUUGAAACAUUUAAAAUUGAAUUUGAAAUGAUAUCAUGGUAUCACCUAAAGGGUGGUAUCAUGUGAUAUUCUCCCGUCAUGUAUAUCUCGCGCAUACACGCACACUGCUUGUGCGGCGUCAGGCAGUGCUUAACUAUAUCUUUUUUUAGAAACUGUAUCCAAUUAGUAGCUUUGUAGCUCUAGCUGCAUGCGUAUGAAUAUUCCACGUGGUCUCCCUACAUAAUUACUAAGUUAGACCACGCAAGAAUGCAUCAACCGAUACUGAUUGAACAGAUAAAUAAAGAACAAAAGUUUCUACUAGAAGUCACACGCAAAAAAGAAAUUGCAAAGAAAGAAAAUAAGAAGAGACACUACAGGAAGUCAGGCUGAGCAGGUGGUGAACAUCGAUGCGGCAGCUCUGAAAACCACUGUCCGUCUGUGGCCACUGUGCCUCUGUCGAACUUCUUGCAGUGUAACUGAAUAUUGCGAGCCCAGCCACACACAUAAAAGAAAACUAUCAUGGCACUGACAAUAUGCAUUUAAAAUAUAAAUAAAUGUAAAAAAAAUAUUCAACUGACGUCCGCAUGACGUCGCCUGACGAGCCACAACCUACAGGGUUGGCCCACCACCGGGCUCUAUAGGCGAGGCAACGGUGUGCCUCGUAGUAAGAGCAUCUCCAACAGACGCGUAACGCAUGGUGCACUAAAAAACAGUAUACAACGCUGGGUGAGCCAGCUUUUGCGCGCGGCGGUGCGCCGGCUCCAGCGGCCGCCGCAAAAUAAAGCGCGCCCGAGCCGCUCCAGGAGACGCGCUAUAUUUCUUCUUUUUUGUACUACGACUCGAUACACAUUUGGCUCCGAUAGUACAUAGAUAAAUGAUACAUUAUAUUAAAAAUGAUACAUAUAUAGUUGAUAGCCUCCUCCUACGAUAGAUAGUAAAACGAAAAACUACUACUACUCGUCAUCCUUCGACUCAGACUCCACCUCGGUGAUGUCCUCCUCCGACGUCUGAAUGAAGGCGUCAAGGAACCGCUCGUCGUUGGAGCCCUAGGACGAUGCAUCUCCUAGCGCGAUGUUGAAUUCAGCGGCCGCCUUCCCCUUUCGCCUGUCCUCGCGAUAGGCGGCUCACUCCACCCUCCUCUCCUCCCUUUUCGCCCUCCUCUCGACGAAUAACUGUUGCUCGUUGAUGACGUCUUGCGGGAAGCGUUGGCACCACAGCGCCAUGGCUUGCUCGUUCAUCUCGGUCAGGCUGAGACGGCGCUCCCGCCUCCAGUUCUUGUGACGAUCCUCGUCGGUGAUAAGCCGUGGGGGAGGCGCCAACUCCUGCGCCCGCUGCCGCAUCGCCUCGUGGGCGGUGUCGAAGGUGCCAAGGCCGAGGCGCACUUCACCGGACCGAAUCUCGGUAGAGUAGGUGCUGGACGGGCGCAUGCGGACGCCGCAGUAGCCCGAAGCUCCCGGCGGCGCAGCGGCAUGGUGGUGCGAUUGUGGCGCGUCGGCGGCGAGGUGAGAAAGCGGUAGAGGGAGCGAGGAGAGAGCGGCAGAGGGCGCGUGGCGAUGUGGAUAGCGAUGGAACGGUGCAUGGCGGGCGCUGCAUUUUAUAGGCGCGUCGGAAGCGUCGCGCCAAAUCUAGCACGCGGCCGCCCGCUUUUUCCUGCGCGCGCGCAAUCGUUUCCCGCGCGCCUGAUUUUCCCGCAUCCGCUGGAGCGCGCGAAACCGUCCCGCACGCUAAAAUCUCAUUUUACCGCGCGCGCGCGUUUUUUGCAGCCACAGUUGGAGAUGCUCUAAGCGGCACAUAGCCGCACCAAUGGCUCGGGCCUUGGCGACCCGUUUUGUAGAAGGGAGUUAAAAAGCGAAAAUAAAAUUAGAGUUGUGAGAUCUAAAUAAUCUAUUUGGUUAAAAGAAAUGUGAUUUUAGAACGGAUUAGGUAUGAGACUUUUUUUUAGUGGGGAAUUAGGUAUGGGAGUUAACUCCCACAAAUUUUUUUUGACAUAAACUCCCACCAUUUUAGCAACAGGGAAGAGAGUCUGAGUUGAAAGGGAAUUGUUUUACAUACAACAUCCAGAUUAUUCAUCAUAACUUAUGCUCUCAUAUUGUAAAAAAGGUGUUAUUAUUUUCUCCAAAGAAAACAAGGGUAGAAACUUUCUUCACUUUCUCCUCAAAGCCCCAGACAUAAUUACCAUCAGAUACAAAACCAAGGAAUAAAAAGAAAAUGACAUUUGUCCUGUCUAAUCUCUGUACAAUUCCCUUCUCUAAACUCUCGUUCCUCUUUCUUAAAAGUUACUCCAUCCGUUCAUAAGUAUAAUACAUUUUAAGGAAAACACUUCUAAUCAUACAUCUGAUACAUGUCGACAUUGUUGUGGUUGUCAAAGAUAUCCCAUCCAUAUAUUUAAAACUUUGAAAUCUUAUCUUUGACCAUUCAAACUAUUCAUCGUUCACCAAUGUAUGUAUAGUACUGUUGGUCCCUAACCACUAAACUAACAUUGACAUGCUAGGCCCGCAAAAGAAAAUGUUAACAUGUCAGGAUAAGCAAUGGACGUGGUCGCCAUUUCUUAUUAUUGUCUACACAGUAGUGAUUAUGUAUUUUUCUAAAAGAAAACCAAAUAGCAAUCAUGUGGUGUGUCGUGUGUGGCAUCAGGGGGCGGUGCUGGUCAAGGCACCCACAACGUGUUUGAUACUCCCGUUAACAAGAUGUUUUAACUUUUUCAAUAUAGCGGACCAAUCUGUGAUUAGAUAAUUAGAUGGACGAUGAUAUUUUCAGCCCAUUAGGGUUUAAGUCCUGGUGCUAGCAUUAUUUCUAAAUUUAUUUCAGGAUUUUUGGCGAAGCGCUUUUAGUGGGAGGAGACGUUCCCGUCGACGACGAUGCGCCUAAGGUGACUUCGUAAAUUUCAAGAUUAUAUGCCGGCUUAGUCUCUCGAAGGUGCUCAUAGGGGUAGGGUAUGUGUGUGUUCAUAGGGGUGAGUGUAUGCACGUUGUAUGAGCGCUUGCGUCUGUACCAUGUUAAAAAACCUUUUGCGAUUUAGAUGCACCAACAACAUAUUUUAGUAUGUUUGUUCACUUAUUUCAGUCUAUAUUAAAAUGGACAAAUGUUUUCUACGAUAGGGUGUAGUUACCCCACUUUAGUUUUGUAUGUUUUAGAUAGUACCUAUUGGGGUGUAUGUACGCGUAGUAUGUAAUAUAUAUGAAUAUUUACUUACGAGAAUGGACGUUUGGCUCUCGGCCUUCAUGGAAGCCUCUUUUUUAAAACAAAUCAAAAUUCAAUCUUUUGGUUUUAAAAAAAUCUGAAAAAAGUUGUGCAAGUAAACAAGGAUGUUACGUGUAUGUGUGUAAAAUUUCAGGAUAAAAAAUAUUGAAAUGCGACCUGUACAAAAAGGACAAAUUCAGGACCUGGGAGGAUGAAUAGUAUCAUGUGUUAAAAAGCCCCAGAUUUGUCUUUCUUGCACAGCCCUCAUUUCAACUCAUUUUACCCUGAAAAUUUACACACACAUGUGUUAUGCCUUCAUGUAUAUCUGUGUUUUUUCAAAAAAAAAUUGAGACAUAGAAAAUAUGAAAUUUGAUGAAAUUUGAAUUUUUCAAAACAGAGCUCCAUGGAGCUCGGCCUCCAAAGACAAUAUUCGAAUAUUUACGUAGUAUAGAUACUACUAGGACGAAGGGAACCAAAACGUUCGGCCCUGCCUGCUCCCGCGCACGGGGGACGGGUGGGGGGGAGCCUUCCUCGCGCCUCCCCUCCCCCCACCGCCGCUGGUGCGCACUGCCGGUCCAAACCCGGUCAACGUAGGCGGCGGCGGGCGCUUUGGUCCCUUCCUGGUGGCCCGUCGCAACGCGGGAUGUGGCGGCUCCCCCGGAAGACGGAGCUUCUGUGGGGCGUGGUGGCAGCAAGGCGGGCGGUCGCGCCGGCGGCGUGGGCGGCCGCUCGAUCUACGGUAGCUGCAGGAGCUCGGUUGGGUGGAGGCGGUGUGGGCUGUGUGGGCCAGGCUAGUGGUGCACAUCUGCUGAGCUGGAGGCGGGUUGUGGCCCAACCUGAUCUUGCCUCCGGCGGCGCAGAGGGCGCGGGCUGUCUAUGGGGAGGCUGGUGGCCUCCGUCGCUUCCCUGCAGCAGUGGUGCUCGGCAGGGACCGGUGGUUGGUGGUGCUUGCGCAGUGGAUCCAGCUGGGUUUGGGGCGGGUCUCGGUGUGCAGCGCGAUGGCCGAUGGCCUAGGGUAGUGUUGCGGUUCUUCCUGCGGGCGUGGAGAUGGGGCAUGGCUCAGAUGGUGGUGGCCAAGGCCCGGACGGUCUUGACGAAGCUAUGUGUGGGGAGCCGAUGGGGGCGGGGGCGCCGGAUCAGCCGCCUGGUGACAGAGUUGUCGGCUGCCAUGAGUGGCUCCCAUUUGUGUGGGGGCACCGUCCAUCUUCUCCGAGUGCGGUUGCGGGCCAUAGGCCGGUGACGCAAACCUACCGAUGCGGCAGGAGUUUGACGUGGUCCUCCUGCCCGGGGUUGGUUGCUCUUUGCACAAGUUUUGGCUCAAUAUUGCCUUGGAGUCGGGUUGCUCGGUUGUGGGUCGCCUCCGGUGAAGUCAAGGUGGGAGCUUUCGGUUCGGUUGGGGAGGCAUCCUCACAUUGUAUCAUAGGUGCAGGUCUAUGGUGGUGGUGUUCGGGACUGCAUUCUGCCAUUAGUCAGAUCGGUGCUCGAGUCACAGGCUUGGUGUCGUCUGAGCUGCUUGCUCGGUGAUGGUCGUCGGUAGUCAUUGUGUCAUGUCCCCUCCGGACCAUCGGGAUUAUAGGGGAUUACAGGUGUGAGUGCCCCUACGGUGGUGGAGCUGGCCCGGGCUCGGUGACUGAUGUUGGGCUUUUCCUUGUCGCGAUUUGAACAUUGUGAAGCUAGUAGUUGGCGGUGUCUCGUGGCAUGGAUACCGGGGCGGCGGCCUAGGAAGGUGGUCUGCAUGGUUGGAUCUCCGGCGGGCACCAUAAUGGCGGUGGUGGCCGAUGACCCACAAAUAUAGGGGUCAAUCGUAGUCCUUUCGAUAAGUAAGAGUGUCGAACCCAACGAGAAGCAAAAGGAAAUGACAAGCAAUUUUUAGCAAGGUAAUUUCUGCAAGCACUGAAAUUGUCGGUAACAGGUAGUUUGAUGGCAAGAUAAUUUGUAUCGAGCAUGUAACGGUAACGGUAAAUAAAGUGCAGCAAGGUAGCCCAAUCCUUGUGUGGCAAAGGACAUCCCAAAAUGGUCUCUUAUAAUAAGCAAAGCAUAGUUGAGGCCACAGGAGAAUUUCAUCUAGUCAUUUUCGUCAUGUUGGUUUGAUUCGUGUUCGCUACUUUGAUAUGUGGGUGGACCGGUGCUUGGGUGUUGUUCUUACUUGAACAAGCCUCCCACUUAUGAUUAACCCCCUAGAAAGCAUCCGCAACUACGAGAAAAGUACUAAGAUAAAAUCCAACCAUAGCAUUAAACAUUUGGAUCCAAAUCGGUCCCUUGCGGAAUAUCGCAUAAACUAGGGUUUAAGCUUCUGUCACUCUAGAAACCCAUCAUCUAAUAACUACUCCACAAUGCAUUCCCUUAAGCCCAAGGAUGGUGAAGUGCCAUGUAGUCGACAUUCACAUGACACCACUAACAUACAUAUCAUCAAAAUAUCGAACACAUAUCAACUUCACAUGAUUACUUGCAACAUGACUUCUCCCGUGACCUCAAAAACAAAAUUCACUACUCAUAAAUGAUAUUCAUGCUCAAGAUCAUAGUGGGUCUUAAAUAGCAUAAUGGAUCUGAGCAUAUAAUGUUCCACCAAAUAAACCAUAUAGUAAUCAACUACAAGAUGUAAUCAACACUACUAGUCACCCACAGGUACCAAUAAGAGGUUCCGGUACAAAGAUUUGAACAUAAGAGAUGAAACAGGGUUUGAGAGGAGAUGGUGUUGUUGAAGAUAUUGAUGGAGAUUGGCCUCCCAAAGAGGAGAGGGUUGUUGGUGAUGACGAUGGCUUCAAUUUCCCCCUCCGGGAGGGAAGUUCCCCCAGCGGAAUCGCUCCACCGGAGGGGAAAAGUGCUCCUGCCCAAGUUCCGCCUCGAGAUGGCGGCGCUCCGUCCCGGAAGUCCUCUCCUUAAUUUUUCUAGGUCAAAAGACCUUAUGUACCAGAAGAUGGGCACCGGAGGUGGGUUGGACUGACCACAACCCGCCAGGGCGCGCCUGGGGGGCCUGGCGCGCCCUGGCGUCCUUUGGCCAGUAGGUGGCCCCCCUCCGGUAGUUAUUUGCUCUAGUAUUUUUAUAUAUUCCAAAAUAAUUCUCCGUAAAUUUUUAGCUCAUACGAAGAUGUGCAGAAUAGGUAUUUCUGACAUAGCUUUUUCAGGUCUAGAAUUCCAGAUGCCGGUAUUCUCCCUCUUUGUGUAAUCCUUGCAUAUUAUGAGAGAAAAGGCAUUAGAAUUACUCCAUAAAGCACUAUUAUGCACAAAAACAUUAUAAAUAACAGUAGGAAAACAUGAUGCAAAAUGGACAUAUCAGUGGCUAUUUCUCUUGGUCGUCUGGGCGACAAGAGGUAUAGCGGCAGGUGUCUUGGGCGUGCUCUGCCUCUGGCAGUGGCGGCGCCCCGAUCCGAAUCUGGAGUUCUGGACUCGUUCUGCUACUCUUGAAGACCUCGCGAUGGCAUGGGGGAGAUGACGAGCGAAAGCUCUGCGCUUUGUCAUCGUCGACGGCGCCGCUCUCUUCCUGAAGACAUCGUUGUGUUACUCCUCUCCGUGUCUGGGUUCCGGGUGAAAAUCUUUGUCCAUGUGGACUCGACAGUGUCGACGCUUUUGCGCCGUUCUCCCUCCUGGGGGCAUUGUUGUGGAGCUUAGGUGUUUUGGGGUGUAGCGUAGUGGUGUUCUCGGAGCUUCCUGUGUUUUCUUUUGGUUGUGUGGUCGCUUGCCUCUGCGUAAUCCGCGUAUUUGAGGAUAGGCUUUUUAAGAGUGACUCCUCACUAUUUAGUAUCGUUCGACCAUGUACUUUGAUCGGUUGUUGCUUUAUAUAUAAAGCGGGGCAAAAGCCUGUUCCGAGUAUAUAUNNNNNNNNNNNNNNNNNNNNNNNNNNNNNNNNNNNNNNNNNNNNNNNNNNNNNNNNNNNNNNNNNNNNNNNNNNNNNNNNNNNNNNNNNNNNNNNNNNNNNNNNNNNNNNNNNNNNNNNNNNNNNNNNNNNNNNNNNNNNNNNNNNNNNNNNNNNNNNNNNNNNNNNNNNNNNNNNNNNNNNNNNNNNNNNNNNNNNNNNNNNNNNNNNNNNNNNNNNNNNNNNNNNNNNNNNNNNNNNNNNNNNNNNNNNNNNNNNNNNNNNNNNNNNNNNNNNNNNNNNNNNNNNNNNNNNNNNNNNNNNNNNNNNNNNNNNNNNNNNNNNNNNNNNNNNNNNNNNNNAUAUACUACUUCUUAGGUAGUAUGUACCAUAUUUUGAGGAUACUCCUUUUUACAUACAAAUAUGUACGUAUUUCAUAAAUAAAACAAAAGCAAUGGAUCCACUUGCUAUUUUUUCAUAUAAUCGCUUUGGAGUAUCUUGGAUAUAGUGUAUGAAUAUUGUAGGAUCAAAAUAUGUCUAGAGGGGGGGUGAUUAGACUAGUUAACCAAAUAAAACUUAUCCUUUUUCCCAAUUUUAGUUCUAGGCAAGUUUUAGCAAUUCUACCAAGUCAAGCAACAGCCGACACAUGCAAGUCUAAGAGUUGUGCAAUGGAAAGUAAAAGACUUUGCGUAUGAACGUAAAGGAGGGAUUGGAGAAAUCAGAAGCAAUGAAGACACAGUGAUUUUUGGCAUGGUUCUGUAAGGUGGUGCUAUUGUACAUCCACGUUGAUGGAGACUUUAACCCGCGGAGGGUAACGGUUGCGCGAGUCCGCAGAGGGCUCCACCCACAAAGGGUCCACGAAGAAGCACUCUUAUCUAUUCCACCAUGGCUUAUGCCCACAAAGCACUAGCCUCACUCGGGGUAGAUCUUCACGAAUUAGGUGAUCUCCUUGCCCUUACAAACUCCUUGGUUCAACUCCACAUGAUCUUGGAGGCUCCCAAGUGACACCUAACCAAUCUAGGGGACACCAUUCUCCAAAAGGUAAUAGAUGGUGUGUUGAUGAUGAACUCCUUACUCUUGUGCUUCAAAAGAUAGUCUCCUUAACACUCAAUCACCAUGUCACAGAUUUGGCUUGGGUAGGAGAAGGAUUAGAGUGGAAAGCAAAUUGGGGAGGCUAGAAAUCAAGGUUCAAAUGAUUGUAUUGGAAUGCCUUGAUAUCAACACAUGAGUAGGUGGUUCUCUCUCAGAAAAUUAAUGGUGGAAGUGUAAUUUCAUUCUGAUGGCUCUCUUAGAGAGUAAGGGGGGUGGGGUAUAUUUAGCCUUCACCAAGAAUCCAACCGUUACAAUAUUUUGACUCAACUCAGUGACACCAAACCAGAUUCUCGGUGAGGCCGACCCGUGUAAAAGAUUUGAACGAUGGGCUUUUCGGUGAGACCGAUCAAAUCCACUCGGUGGCUUCGAUAUGCAAUGACCUAAGCAAGACAUCAUUUAGAUAAUUCCGAUCGAAACAUCUCGAUAAUUCCAAAAUGGAACCAAUGGGUGACAGAAACUUGGUCACUGCACUUCGGUGGUACCGAAUGUUAUCUCGGUGGAACCGAGUGUCUAGAGUUUGGCCGUGGGUCUGCCUAAGUUAAAUUUGGUGGGUCCGAAAGUAGAUGUAUUAGUGGGAUUGGGUUUGAUAUUUAGGGUUUGGACACAUUGAAUGUGGGAAAGUGGCUGAGGGUUUUGGAGCAAUAUCUUCAAGCACUUGUGCAACUAAGUCAUGAUCAAAACCUCAUCCCUUUUUAAUAGUACUCGCUUUCCUAUGGCCUCAAUGUCAUCUUCGAUCACUUAACCGAAAAUGAAGAGUAUUGGAGCCUUUUGCCAAUAUGCUUCGAUAGCAAUUUGAGGGGUCCACAUCCACAUGUCCUUGCCAUGCCAACAUUGAACUUUCCUGAAAUCUAUCUUUGAAUAGGCAUUAGUUCAAUGACAUAUAUGUUGUUAUUAAUUACCAAAACCACCUGAGGAUUAGUUGCACUUUCAAAUAUACAGAAAAUAAUAUAGUAGCACAUGGUAGUAUAUGAAACUUGGGUGUAACUAAACCCGACAGUAGGAUGUAUUUUCCCAUAUUAAAAUAUGGGAGCCGCUAGGGAUCAAACCACUGAUCCCUGGCUUCCUAUCAAACCAGCUGAAAGCCGUAGGAUUAGGAUCAUGAUGCCUAUUCUAUCUGUACAGAAGCCCCAUGCCUGAUGCACUAGUUUCCUUUGCUAAUUGUCUAGUUCUUCCCCUAUGUUUAGUUGCUUCCUAUUAAUUGUCAUGUAAGUUUAGCUGCACCCUAUUAACAGCUCCCGUAAGUUUAGCUACUUCCUAUUCGCUAACCUCACAAGAUUUUCUUCCCAAAACCGCUUCCUCGAAUGACUUCAAAUAAAUCCCCUUUUUUGUGGAAAUAAUUUCGGAAAGCACAGUUAUUUUGCAUGGUUAAAUACAACAAAUUAAUUAAGUUCUUUCUAAACAUGUGCUCCUUUAUCGGUGGUAGCCAAUUUUUUUUCUACCAUGGAAGCAUUGUUCUUUUUUUUGACAACAUGAAAGCAUUGUUCUUGAUCCAUAGAAGCAUCAUUUUCUGGUGUGAUAGGAACAAACUGUUCGCAUCGCAUGCAACAUUUUUUAUUUUUGAUGAAUACAAUUGUAAGUGCUUUAGAAGCAUCUUUUUCUAGUGAGAUGAUGAAACAUAUUAAUAGCAGAGAAGUAGGGUCGAAGCACAACCACUAGUAGGAAACGGGACAUUAGUCCCGGUUCAUAAGGGCCUUUAGUCCCGUUUAGGCAACCGAGACUAAGGAAUCGGGACUAAAGGCCCCCCUUUUGGUCCCAGUUGUGUUACAAACUGGGACUAAAGGGGCUCCACGUGUCCAUUGUGGAGUGCUCAGGCAGGAGGACCUUUAGUCCCAGUUGGUAACACCAACCGGGACUAAAAGGCCGCCACGCAUCAGGCGCUACCAAGUGCUGGGGUUUAGGGUUUUGGAGCAUUUAAGGGUUUCAUUUUGUGUUCACCAUUCAAUUCUUUUUCAUUUAGCGUUUUCAUUUUCAUUUUAUGUUUUCCAUUCAACUUGACGCUAGCUACUAUAUAUAGCAAUGAAGGAACCAUUAAACAACAUCGUCAUGAAUAUAGAGAAGUGACCUCUUUCUCCGUGCUUGGUCGAAUAACAAGUUUUCGUAUAUAUAUUCGACGCUACUACAUAUAGUAUAUGGUCAUGCAUAUAUACCAUAUAAUAUCUCUUAUGAUCCCUAAUAUAUAAUUACCAAAUUCCCUACUAAUUCCCGAUGGUAUUCUCCGGUUUUAGAUAUGACCUCUUCAAGUAAGAAUCCCGCCAAUUCCUCUUGAAUUUCUCAUAUGCGAUCCUUUGGUAGGAGAUCGUCCCGCAUCCGUUCGAUCUAAUUUAAAGAAGGGGUCAAUAUAUAUGAAUGAAACUCAACACAAUUGAUGGUAAUAAAAUAAAAUUGUGAAUAUUGUUUACGUACUUGAAGUUUUUCUAAAAUUCUGCCCUUCUCACAGGUUGUCUGGCGAAUGAACUCGCAAACGCAGUAUCCACAUUAAUUAUUCCCAUCUCCCUGACUCAAGCACUUUAUGAGAAUAGAGUUCAAUCAAAAUAAUAAUCAAGCAUGAUAAUGGUAUUGAAACUAGAAUCAAAGAGAGAUGCGUAGAACUAGCUAGUACUACUUAUAUUGAGUUUUCGAAAUCGCAGCUUUUCUUUCCAUUCACCCCUAGCUAGCUUGCUGAACUUUUUCCAAACCCUGCCCGACAAAGAAAAUGAAUAAAGGAGUUAUUAAUUACUUGAUAACAGUAAAUGAACGAAAGUUGCCGAUAUAGUGCGAUAAUGAUUGAACUUACCUCUGGAGCAUUUCACUCAGGUCCGCCCACAUCUGAGGGUCUUUACGUUUCGAGUCCAUGACAAGUACUAAUCCAUCGUCAACCUUAAUGACUAGAAGAAUAAAGUGGAACCUGUGCAUGCAUAACUCAUCAGUUACACUUAACAUCGAGUAAGCGAAACAGAAUAUGUACAAGACAAUAACACUCACUUGAAGUUGUAAGGAAAUAGUAAUUCCCUUCUGAUUUGUUGUGCAAUGAACGCCCUUAGCAAGUUAGCUUCUGUUUCCUUGGCAUUAUUUUCUACCAUAUAUUCAUGUAUGUUAUUUGGGUUAAUGAACCCAAUGUCAUAGAUUUGUCCUCUUUUGCAUUAGAGAAUCUUCAUUCUGCAUAAUAUAGUGAGGAUAAUUAUACAUGCAAUCAACGAGCUGAGCUAGAGACUUAACUACAGAAAUAAUACUUACAGACAAUAGCAACUGACGAUAGAUUUGUUGAGGGCGUCUUGAUCAUAUAACUAAAAAAUUCAUCAAAUUCAAUGUACAUCUCCUCGUCUCCACUAAAGUAAUGAUCAUCUCUAAUCCCCACCAUCAUCAUGUUGCUCCCUUCCUUUGAGGCUUCCAUGUAGCACUCAUGCAAUCUUCGCAUUUGUGUUGGUAGAAAUGGAACUCCUCAGGUCUGACAAGAGGCUUCCCGUCCUGGUAUCUGUAUGCUAAAUUAGCCAUGGGGAACUCUACCUGUUCGCCUAAGUAUUGACCAAGAGUGAAACAAAGAUCAUCGGCCUCUACCUCCAGAUCAUAAUCAAUAUCGGUAAACACCUUGAGCGGGGGGCACGAUUGAUUUUUCUGUUCGCCGAGCUGGGGAAUUGUUUUUCCACUUGCACUACUACUUCCCGAACGCUACAGCAGUUCUUUAUGUGACUUAAUAAUAGAGCAGUCAUAGUUUGAUGGCAACGAAGGUAGUGGUCGUGUAAGGUUUUCCAGACAGUGCUUCGCUUUUGUCGGAUCUAUUUUCUCCUUUGGCUUGGGCCGUUUCGUUGCAAGAUGGCGUUUCACAUUGAUACGUCUCCAACGUAUCUAUAAUUUAUGAAGUAUUCAUGCCAUGUUUACAACAAUUUUAUAUGGUUUUGGUAUGAUUUGCAUGGAACUAACCCAGACUAACGCUAUUUUUAGCAGAACUACCGUGGUGUUGUUUUUUAUGAUGAAAUGAAAGUUCUCCAAAUGAGCUGAAACUUUUUGACGGUUUUUUUGGAACAAAAGAGACCCCCGAAGCUUCGUGGGAGUGCCAGAAGAGCCACGAGGAGGGCACAACCCACCACGGAGCGCCAGAGGGGCCUAGCUUGCCCCGGUGGGUUGUGCUCACCUCGAGGCCCAUCUUUGCAUGAAACCGACGCCAAAAAUCCUAUAAAUAGAGAAACCAUCAGAAAUAACCCUAGAUUAGAAGUUCCGCCACCGCAAGCCUCUGUAGCCCAGAAAGACCAAUCUAGACCCCGUUCCAGCACCCUGCAAGAGGGGGAAAUCAUCACUGGAGGCCAUCUUCAUCAUCCCGGCGGCCACCAUGAUGAGGAGGGAGUAGUCCACCCUCAGGGCUGAGGGUUUGUACCAGUAGCUAUAUGUUAAAUCUCUCUCUCUCUCUCGUGUUCUUGAGAUGGCAUGAUCUUGAUGUAUCGCGGGCUUUGUUAAUAUAGUUGGAUCAUAUGGUGUUUCUCCCUCUCUAUCUUGUUGUGAUGAAUUGAGUUUUCCCUUUGAGAUUUUGUUUUAUCGGAUUGAAUACUUUCAUGGAUUUGAGAACAGUUGAUGUAUGUCUUCCUAUGAAUACCUGUGGUGACAAUGGGGUAUCAUAUUGAUUCACUUGAUAUGUGCAUUGGCACUCAACUCGCGGAUUCCCGAGGUGACAUUGCGGUAAUCUAUGCAUAGGGGUUGAUGCAUGAUGACCCACAAGUAUACGGGAUCAGACGUAGUCAUUUUGAUAAGUAAGAGUGUCGAACCCAGCGAGGAGCAGAAGGAAAUGACAAGUGGUUUUCAGCAAGGUGUUUUCUGCAAGCACUGAAAUAGUAGGUAACAAGUAGUUCGAUAGCAAGAUAAUUUGUAACGAGCAAGUAACGGUAAGGGUAAAUAAAGUGCAGCAAGGUAGCCCAAUCCUUUUGUGUCAAAGGACAGGCCAAAACGAUCUCUUAUAAUAAGCAAAGCGUUCUGGAGUGUACACGGGAAUUUCAUCAUAUCACUUUCAUCAUGUUGGUUUGAUUCGUGUUUGCUACUUUGAUAAUUAGAUAUGUGGGCGGACCGGUGCUUAGGUGUUGUUCUUACUUGAAAGAAACUCCUACUUAUGAUUAACCACCUCACAAGCAUCCGCAACUACGAGAAAAGUAUUAAGAUACAAUCUAACCAUAGCAUUAAACUUUUGGAAUAGCGCAUAAACUAGGGUUUAAGCUUCUAUCACUCUCGCAACCCAUCAUCUAAUUGCUAAUCCACAAUGCAUUCCCUGAGGCCAAAAUAUGGUGAAGUGUCAUGUAGUUGAUGUUCACAUGACACCACUAAGGGAAUCACAACAUACAUACUAUCAAAAUAUCGAACACAUAUCAAGUUCACAUGAUUACUUGCAACAUGAUUUCUCCCGUGACCUCAAGAACAAAAGUAACUACACACAAAUAAUAAUCAUGCUCAAGAUUAGAGGGGUAUUAAAUAGCAUAAUGGAUUGGAACAUAUAUUAUUCCACCAAAUAAACCAUAUAAUAAUCAAGUACAAGAUGUAAUCAACACUACUAGCCACCCACAAGCACCAGUCUAAGGUUCGGGUACAAACAUUGAACACCAGAGAUGAACCAGUGUUUGAGAGGAGAUGGUGCUAUUGAAGAUGUUGAUGGAUAUGGCACUCCCAAAGAUGGGAGAGUUGUUGGUGAUUAUGAUGACGAUGAUUUCAACCUCCGGGAGGGAUGUUCCCCCAGCGGAAUCGCUCCGCCGAAGGGCAAAAGUGCUGCUGCCCAAGUUCCGCCUUGAGACAGCGACGCUUCCUCCCGAAAGUCCUCUCCUUAUUUUUUCUAGGUCAAAAUGACUUAUAUACCAGAAGAGGGGCACCGGAGGUGGGCCGAGGAGGGUACAACCCACCAGGGGCCCUGGCGUGCCCUGGUGUCUUGUGCCCCCCUCGGGUGCCUUCCUGGUUGUUUCCUAUUUUCCUAAUUUUUAAAAUAUUCCAAAACUGGCAGAAAAUAUUUUUGUGGAUUUUUUCGAGUCCGUUUACUUACCGUAUCACGUAUCUCCUCCUUUUUAAUUAUUCUGGAGUAUUCCGGAAGGUCUCUUUUAUGUGUUCCUCAGGUGUCAUAGUUUGAAUAAUAUUGCUUUCAACAUUAAUAGGCGUACCUGAAAUAUAUUUUUUAAUUCUUUGCCCAUUGAACACCUUCGGGUUAGUUACCUUCGGCAUUAUUUAUUUUGAUAGCUCCAGAGUGGUAAACCUCUUCGAUGAUAUAACGUCCAUCCCAUUUAGAGAGAUGUUUUCCUGCAAAGAAUCUAGAACGAGAGUUGUACAAAAGAACAUAUUCUCCAACUUUGAAUUACCGCUUUUGGAUUCUUUUGUCAUGCCAUCUUUUAACAUUUUCUUUGGAUAACUUGGCAUUUUCAUAGGAUUGGUUUCUCCAUUCAUCUAGUGAGCUAAUAUCAAAUAACCUCUUUUCACCGGCAAGUUUGAAAUCAUAAUUGAGUUCUUUAAUAUCCCAAUAUGCUUUGUGUUCUAACUCUAGAGGCAAUUGACAAGCUUUUCCAUAAACCCUUUUAUAGGGAGACAUACCCAUAGGAUUUUUGUAUGCUGUUCGGUAGGCCCAAAGUGCAUCAUCCAAUUACUUAGAACAAUUCUUUCGGGACCUAUUAACAGUUUUCUGUAAUAUUAAUUUUAUUUCUCUAUUGCUAAGUUCAACUUGACCACUAGAUUGAGGAUGAUAGGGUGAUGCAAUUCUAUGGUUAACAUCAUAUUUAGCAAGCAUUUUACGGAAAGCACCAUGAAUAAAGUGUGAACCACCAUUAGUCAUUAAAUAUCUAGGGACUCCAAACCUCAGGAAAAUAACUUCUUUAGGCAUUUUAAUGGAAGUGUUAUGACAGCACUACUAGUUGGAAUAGCUUGUACCCACUUAGUAAUAUAAUCAACAGCAACCAAAAUAUGUGUAUACCCAUUAGAGGAAGGAAAACGUCCCAUAUAAUCAAAACCCCAAACAUCAAACGGUUCAAUAGCAAGUGAAUAAUUCAUAGGCAUUCCUUGAUGCUUACCAAUAUUACCAAUUCAUUGACAUUCGACACAAGAUAAAACAAACUUACGGGCACCCUUGAAGAGAGUAGGCCAAUAAAAAUCAGAGUGCAAUACCUUGUGAGCAGUUCUGUCUCCAGCAUGAUGCCCUCCAUAAGCUUCGGGGUGACAUUUUCGUAAGAUUUAUCCUGUUCAUGCUCAGGCACACAACAUCUAACAAUACCAUCUAGUCCUUUAUAAAGAUGUGGGUCAUUCCAAAAGUAAUGUCUUAAAUCAUAAAAGAACUUUUUUCUUUUGUUGGUAUGUGAAACUAGGUGGAAUGUAUUUAGCAACAAUAUAAUUAGCAUAGUCAGCAUACCAAGUAGUGUUAUGAGAACGGCUAGUUGCUCAUCAGGAAAACUAUCAUCAAUAGGUAGUGGGUCAUCAAGGAUAUUCUAUAACCAAGACAAGUUAUCAGCUACGGGGUUCUCUACUCCUUUUCUAUCAGUUAUACGUAAAUCAAAUUCUUGUAGAACGAGAACCCACCUAAUGAGUCUAGGUUUAGCAUCUUUCUUUUCCAUGAGAUAUUUAAAAGCAGCAUGAUCGGUGUGAACAAUAAAUUUAGAAUCAACAAUGUAGGAUCUGAAUUUAUCACAAGCAAACACAACUGCUAAAAAUUCUUUUCAGUGGUAGCAUAAUUUCUUUGGGCAUUGUCUAGAGUUUUUCUAGCAUAAUGAAUAACAUUUAGUUUCUUAUGGACUCUUUGUCCUAGAACAGCACCAAAAGCAUAAUCACUAUCAUCAGACAUAAUUUCAAAAGGCAAGUUCCAGUCAGGCGGUUGAACAAUAGGUGCAGAAGUUAAGGCUUUGUUAAGUGUUUCAAAGGCUUCUACACAAUCUUCAUCGAAAACAAAUGGAACAUACUUUUGUAAAAGAUCUGUAAGAGGCCUAGAAAUUUUAGAGAAGUCUUUAAGAAACCUCCUAUAGAAGCCAGCAUGACCGAGAAAACUACGAAUACCUUUAAUAUCUUUAGGACAUGGCAUUUCCUCAAUUGCAUCAACUUUAGCUUUAUCCACCUCAAUAACUCGUUCAGAAAUUUUAUGUCCCAAGACAAUACCUUCAUUAACCAUAAAUUGGCACUUCUCCCAAUUCAAGACAAGAUUAGUUUGCUCACAUCUCUACAAAACUCGAUCAAGGUUGCUCAAGCAAUCAUCAAAAGAAGUUCCAUAAACAGAAAAAUCAUCCAUGAAAACCUCAACUAUAUUUUCACAAAAAUCAGAGAAUAUAGGAGUCAUACAUCUUUGAAAGUUAGCAAGUUCAUUGCAUAAACCAAAAGGCAUAUGUCUAUAGGCAUAAGUUCCAAAAGGGCAAGUAAAGGUGGUUUUCUCUUGAUCGGGUUGUGAAACAGGUAUUUGAGAAAAACCAGAAUAUCCAUCUAGGAAGCAAAAGUGUGUGUGCUUUGAUAAUCUUUCUAGCAUUUGAUCAAUAAAAGGCAAGGGUAGUGAUCUUUUCUAGUUGCUUUAUUUCACUUUCUAAAAUCAAUAACCAUUCUAUAGCCAGUAACAAUUCUUUGUGGAAUGAGUUCAUUUUUAUCAUAGGAACAACGGUAAUACCUCCCUUCUUAGGGACACAAUGAACAAGACUCACCCAUCUACUAUCAGCUAUGGGAUAGAUUAUACCUGUUUCUAGAAGCUUCAAUAUUUCAGUUCUUACCACUUCUUUCAUCUUAGGAUUCAAACGUCGUUGAUGAUCAACAACGGGUUUAGCAUCAGGUUCCAUAUUAAUCAUGUGCUAACAGAGAGCGGGACUAAUGCCCUUAAGAUCAUCAAGAGUAUAUCCAAUAGCAGCAUGGUGCUUCUUCAGAAUUUUCAGUAAUCUUUCUUCUUCAUGUUCUGAAAGGUUAGCCCUAAUAAUCACAUGAUAUAUCUUUUUCUCAUCGAGAUAAGCAUAUUUUAAAGUGUUAGGCAAUUGUUUUAAUUCAAACACAGGAUCACCUUUAGGUGUUGGAGGACCUCCUAGAGUUUCAAUAGGCAAAAUUUGGUUCUCUUCUUUGCCUCGCAAUAGUAUCGAUUCUUGGAAUAAGUGCAAAGAUGCUUUUAUCACUAACUAUUUUCCUCCCGCAAAAAUUAUUUCCCUUAGAACCCAGGUCAUGAAUUUCAAGCAACUUGAACAUGAGCAUGUUGCAAAAUCUUUGGAGAGGAUGAAAAAGAUGCUAAUGAAUUGCCCAACUCAUGGGUUAAAUCUUUGGAUGAUCAUACAAUUUUUUUAUGCGGGAUUGAAUUUUGUUUCUCGUAAUCUUUUAGAUUCCGCCGCGGGUGGUACUUUUAUGGAAAUUACUUUGGGAGAAGCCACCAAAUUGCUUGAUAUCAUGGCAAAUUAUUCACCAUACCGACAGGGCUCCUACUAGUAAAAAAGUAAAUUCGGUAGAAGAAAUUUCUUCUUUCACUGGUACAAUGACGUGCUAAACAAACGGUUUUUAACCCCUUUCGGCGACGGCAUUUGGAACCGUCGCCAAGUGAGCAUGUGCGAUAGGGUGUCCUUCCCACACGACCCAGAAAUCAUCGGGGAUAGGCCCUCCUAGGACCUAGGCUGGGGCCGUGUGUGUUCGGGCGAGGCAUCGAAACCCAAUCAUUUCCGUAGGUAUGUACAUCCCACACGGUGAAUCCUAGAAAAUCAUUUCCGUAGGUAUGUAAAUCCCACACGGUGAAUCCCAGAAAAUCAUUUCCGUAGGUAUGUACAUCCCACACGGUGAAUCCCGGAAAAUCAUUUCCGUGGGUAUGUACAUCCCACACGGUGAAUCCUAGAAAAACAUUUCCAUAGGUAUGUAUAUCACACACAGUUCUUUGUGUGGAAAUGUUUGUGCAAGGUGGCCUAACGCAAACAGUUCGCUGCCAGAAGCCGUGUGUGAUUGUUAGUUGAUCGAACACGCCUACUUCCUAGAAACCGUGCGGGUUGUUUGAGUUCAUCGCCCACGGUGCUGUUUGAGUAACCGUUUGCAAUAGAAAACCCCAAUAAGCAGGGUAAUUAGCCUAUUAUUGAUAAUCCAUGUACUAAUCAAACUGAUAUUUCUUAUAAAACACGCGAGAUAUUUCAUAUCCGUAUAAAAGCAACCAGGAUUUCAUAAUCGAAUUACAUCAGAUAGCUUCGGCACUCAGCUACGCCAUUACAUAACAGCACCAAGUUUCACAUGCAGCAUCAAAAACCUUUGGAAAGUAGCAUCACACACGGUAAAUAGACAGAUGAAUCUCAUCUGGGAAACUGCAGAAGCGGAAGGGAAAUAUUGAGCCUUCAGUGAUGUUGAAUUUCCUUGCAACUUUAGGCCAGUGGCUAUGGAUAAUUGCCCGCCCAACCUUCGUCCUCUUCAGCAAGACUUCAAUAUUGUACCGUGGGUGUUGAAUGAAUACCUUCCUCGCCUCUUGACCAUGCAGGUGGUUUGAGAGGUAAUCAUCGGUGAACUGCUUUGAAAAGUACUGAAAACAAAGCUAUGCAUAAAUCACUGUUGUAAAUUUUGAAAUGGCGCAAGUGGUAAAAACAAGGUAAAAGAGUUGGUACCAUCCUAUAGUUGACUGAUGUCUUCUCCAUUGUGCAAACAAAGAUCUCGCUGUUAUUCAUCGCAAGUUUCUUCAUCCUAACAAUCUUUCUGAGUUUCUUGACUUGACUAAUAUUCAUGGACAUCUCAUUUCCCCAUAUGCAAAAUGGGUCGAAUAGUGUGUCUAAGCCUCUGACAGCAGGACAUAUAUGUGCAAGACCAAAUUGUAAGAAACCUAAAUAUUAGAAUGAUUCCUGCAACUGCACAAUAAUGUGCUAUUAGCCAAAGGACCCUUCUUGAACAAACCUCGAUGGUAAACCGCAGUGUCUCCUAUUGUUUCCCUGCAACACACAUAAGGAAGAUCUUGACCAGGUUAACUGAGAGUUGCCAUACUAUCAGUAGAAUAUGUAUUGAGUAAGGCCAAAUUCGAUUGGUGUCACAUGCAUAACAAUACAAAAUUGUACCCACAGCAAAUGAAAAUCAAAUUGCAGAACUGAACCAAACAGUUAAAUGGACAGCAGACCUAAUGAACCAAAAUAGUUAACUGAGCACGACAUUGCAGAAUAGUAACAUGUACUAGAAGAUAAGACAGUUAACAAAACAAAGAAUGCUUGAGAACAGUACUACAAAAUGUAGCAAUUGUUGGACCAAAGUGUUGACUGAACAUUACAUUCUAGAGGACCAAACUGUUAACUGAACAUCAGAUUGCAUAUUAACAUUAUAGAGGACAAAUCACUAGAAGGCACUGGCGGUGGCCUCGAGAAAACAUCACGAACAGUAUUUUACAGUAGACAACCGCGUGGCGGUGUCGACGGUGGCCUCGAAGACAAGGUGCUCCUCCAAGAUCUGGCGGUCGACACGCAUGGCAGCCAUAGCGAGCUCGUUUGCGAGUGCGGCCGCAUGCUACUCAGCUCCACGUUAUACUACGUGUAAAAUGGUUGUGAGCGGCGCUUAAUUGGAGGAGGGGGUAGUGAAUUUGGUGGAAGGUGUUACUCCGCCGGUCGGGGCAUGUGGGACGGGAAAGGAGGAGGAUGGUGUGGGUGGGGUGUGGAUUACCUGACCAUAUCGACGAGGCCGCGCAGCAAGAAGAAGGGUCGGCGGCGAGGAGGCCGCGCAGCAAGAAGAAGGGUUGCCGGCGAGGAGGCGGCGCUGCAAGAAGAAGGGUCGCCGGCGAGGAGGCUGAGCUGCCAGUAAGCAGCAGUGAAGGUUUGAACUUGUAAAGCAAGGAGGAAUAGUGGAAAUGUGGCUUUUGGUAGGAGGGAGGGGGUGGGGAGAUAGAUAUUUCCAUGGUGGCAAAAAAAAUCACUCGGUGCCGCGAGAAACUGGCGCGUAAGUGUGGUUCAAGCGAGGGCGGUGGACUGUAGACAACGAAGCUUCCUGCUUAAGCCAGACAAGACGGUGCGCCAAGAUAUUUUAUAUCGCAUCCCACACGAUUCUUUCUUGUAAACUGUUUGUGGUAUACCUGAUUUUUUUCAUUAUGUUUCGAAAGACAAAAUGGUAUUACAGAGGGAAAGGAUGGUGUUUGAAUUGCUAGAACAUUUACGUACAGUGAACAUGCAACUAGUACAUGAGUGUCCUGUUUAAAUUUGGAAUUAUUCCAUGUUUGUUUGGCAUUUUUAUGCAUUAAUUGAGUUUCUGGGCAUUUAAUGUGCAUAAUUCAAAUUUGAACUACAAGCACAUGCUCCAAUGCACGAAAGUUUGCUGAAAAAUCACAUGUGUGUCUUUGGGUGAAUUUAUAGGUCCCAUGCAAGAAAUGGGAAUAAAAUUCAAACAUCUAGGUGUCGUGGCUCGGCCGGAAAGAUUGAGAAACUUGGUUUUUUAAUUCCUGUAAAUCCAAAACACGGCUGAAAAUCAUGAAACUUGGCAUGGUGUCAUGACAUGGCACCAUGCUGCAGUAUUUUUUUGGCCGAAUUAGGACAAGCUUUGGUGUAAGCUUCUUGCAAACCGGAGCUUCCCUCAAGAAGGCUCUAGGUUCCGAGAUGGAACGUGUCACCUCCGUGUGCGAAACGACAUACAUACACUGCCUUCUCCCGCCUUAAUUUUUGUACACUGACAGAUUAGAUCAAAUAGAAGUACCGUGCUAAAUUUUGGAAUUAUUCCGGGUUUGUUUGGCCUUUUUUAUACAUUAAUUGAGUUUCUGCGCAUUUAAUGUGCAUAAUUCAAAUCUGAACUACAAGCACAGGCUCCAGUGCACCAAAGUUGUUUGAAAAAUCACAUGUGUGUCCUUGGGUGAAUUUCUAGGUCCCAUGCAAGAGGUGGGAGUGAAAUUCAAACAUCUGGGCAUCGUGGCUUAGCCGGACAGAUUGAGAAACUUGGUUAUUUAAUUCAGUUAAAUCCAAAACAUGCCUGAAAAUCAUGAAACUUGGCAUGGUGUCAUGACAUGGCACCAACAUGCUGCAGUAAUUUUUUUGGCCGAAUUGGGAAAAGCUUUGGUGUAAGCUUCUUGCAAACCGGAGCUUCCCUCAAGAAGGCUCGUGGUUCUGAGAGGGAACGUGUCACCUCCGUGUGCCAAACGACAUACGUACACUGCCUUCUCCCGCCUUAAUUUUUUUACACAGGCAGAUUAGACCAAAUAGAAGUACCGUGCUAAAUUUUGGAAUUAUUUCGGGUUCGUUUGGCCUUUUUUAUACAUUAAUUGAGUUUCUAGGCAUUUAAUGUGCAUAAUUCAAAUUUGAACUACAAGCACAGGCUCCAGUGCACCAAAGUUGUUUGAAAAAUCACAUGUGUGUCGUUGGGUGAAUUUCUAUGUCCCAUGCAGGAGAUGGGAGUGAAAUUCAAACAUCUGGGCAUCGUGGCUUGGCCGGAAAUAUUGUGAAACUUGGUUUUUUAAUUCUUGUAAAUCCAAAACACGCCUGAAAAUCAUGAAACUUGGCAUGGUGUCAUGACAUGGCACCAACAUGUUGCGGUAAUUUUUUUGGCCGAAUUGGGACAAGCUUUGGUGUAAGCUUAUUGCGAACCGGAGCUUCCCUCAAGAAGGCUCGUGGUUCCGAGAGGGAACUUGUCACCUCCGUGUGCGAAACGACAUACGUACACUGCCUUCUCCUGCCUUAAUUUUUUUACAUAGGCAGAUUUGACCAAAUAGAAGUACCGUGCUAAAUUUUGGAAUUAUUCUGGGUUCGUUUGGCCUUUUUUAUACAUUAAUUGAGUUUCUGGGCAUUUAAUGUGCAUAAUUCAAAUUUGAACUACAAGCACAGGCUCCAGUGCACCUGUUUAAAAAUCACAUGUGUGUCCUUGGGUGAAUUUCUAGGUCCCAUGCAAGAGAUGGGAGUGAAAUUCAAACAUCUGGGCGUCAUGGCUCGGCCGGAAAGAUUGAGAAACUUGGUUUUUUAAUUCCUGUAAUUCCAAAACACGCCUGAAAAUCAUGAAACUUGGCAUGGUGUCAUGACAUGGCACCAACAUGCUGUGGUAAUUUUUUGGCCGAAUUGGGACAAGCUUUGAUGUAAGCUUCUUGCAAACCGGAGCUUCCCUUAAAAUGGCUCGUGGUUCCGAGAGGGAACGUUUCACCUCCGUGUGCGAAACGACAUACGUACACGGCCUUCUCCCGCCUUAAUUUUUUUACAUAGGCAGAUUAGACCAAAUAGAAGUACCGUGCUAAAUUUUGGAAUUAUUCCGGGUUUGUUUGGCCUUUUUAUACAUUAAUUGAGUUUCUGGGCAUUUAAUGUGCAUAAUUCAAGUUUGAACUACAAGCAUAGGCUCGAGUACACCAAAGUUGUUUGAAAAAUCACAUGUGUGUCCUUGGGUGAAUUUCUAGGUCCCAUGCAAGAGAUGGGAGUGAAAUUCAAACAUCUGGGUGUCGUGGCUCGGCCGGAAAGAUUGAGAAACUUGGUUUUUUAAUUCCUGUAAUUCCAAAACACGCCUGAAAAUCAUGAAACUUGGCAUGGUGUCAUGACAUGGCACCAACAUGCUGCGGUAAUUUUUUGGCCGAAUUGGGAGAAGCUUUGGUGUAAGCUUUUUGCAAACCGGAGCUUCCCUCAACAAGGCUUGUGGUUCCGAGAGGGAACUUGUCACCUCCGUGUGCGAAACGACAUACGUACACUACCUUCUCCUGCCUUAAUUUUUUUACACAGGCAGAUUAGACCAAAUAGAAGUAUCGUGCUAAAUUUUGGAAUUAUUUCGGGUUCGUUUGCCUUUUUAUACAUUAAUUGAGUUUCUAGGCAUUUAAUGUACAUAAUUCAAAUUUGAACUACAAGCACAGGCUCUAGUGCACCAAAGUUGUUUGAAAAAUCACAUGUGUGUCCUUGGGUGAAUUUCUAGGUCCCGUGCAAGAGAUGGGAGUGAAAUUCAAACAUCUGGGCCUCGUGGCUCGGCCGGAAAGAUUGAGAAACUUGGUUUUUUAAUUCGUUUAAUUCCAAAACACGCCUGAAAAUCAUGAAACUUGGCAUGGUGUCAUGACAUGGCACCAACAUGCUGUGGUAAUUUUUCUGUCCGAUUUGUGAAGUGUGAAGGCGCACACAUUAACAAUCAACAAAGUCAUUUUGGAACAAGUGUUAUCACAUUACAAAUCGGAAAAACAAGUAUUAUUGAAACCGUGGGUGUUCUACUUACCAAUUACAUGCGGCCACGCGUCCCCUUUUUUAUUGGCUAGGAGGUGCCGUUCGGGGUAGCUAUUUGAGUACGAGAGGCGUGUGAUCAGACCCCUGCGCGUGCUCAUCGGGAGGAGAGCUCUUUGACCGCUACCCGUCGCACACCUCCGUCCCAACGUCUCCAUUAAUGGCGUCCGAGCACCUGUUCUACUGCAUGGCUAUAUGUCUCACUGGGCUGAGAUUUAAGAGAGAAAAACGAAAAUCUGAAAAAGAAAGUUUUGCACGGAUCUUGAUGUAAGAUCCGACGGACCUAUAUAGCAUCGAGUGCGACUUAUAGCAAGCAUGAUGAAUAUAAGGACGAGACACUGGAUAAUAAUUGUCUUACAUAUUUAGAAACAUAAUUAAAAAAAAGCCACAUGCGGCAACACCCGAAAUACACAAGGGAAAAAGAAGAAGGAAGACAACGAUCUGGCUCGCUGAUCUCUACUUUCUUGAUGCUUUGCUGCAGGCCGUGGGAACUAGUCUCUGCGGCGAGCGGCGAGGAGCUCUUUCUUGUCCUCAAGAUGCUUCUUGAGAGCAUCCAUGGAUUCCUCCACCAGCCUUCUGCGCUCGAUGCGCAGCAUGGCAUUCUCGACCAUAAGUUUCUCGACGAUGACGCCGGUCCUCUUCAACAAGGCAGUGGUCAGCUCCUGCUGCUCCGCACUUCCGACGAUCUUCGCCCUUAGCAGGUCACGCGAGGCUUGGAGCUUCGCAUUGCUCUCGUUUAGUUGUCGGAUGAUGUUGGUAGACUGUUCAAACGAGGCUUUCGGGUCAUUCUGCAACCUCGCCCACUUGGAGAUCUGAUCCAUCUGCCUAAGGACGAGGGCACGCAUGCGCCUGUAAGAGUCCUCGCCUGCCCGCGAGACAUAUUCCCAGGCCGCCGUGGCACGGGAGGACAUCUUUGCUGCAUUCGCGGCGCGUCGGGACAUCUCUUCUGCUUCCACGGUGCGGCCGGACCAGUCUGCUGCAUCGACAGUCCGGUGGGAUCUCCGUGCUGCUUCGGCGCCGCGGUGGGACCUCUCUGCUGCUACGACCGUGCAGCGGGACAUGUUGGUUGCUUUCGCGGCGAGGCGGGACAUCUAUUGUGCUUCCGCUUCCAGGCUCGCCUCUCCCUGGUGGCAAUCUCUCGACCCAGAACUCACGCUGGUCAUGGAGGACGCAAGGGAACGAUGAUGAAUGACUUGUUUGUUUUUGACUUUUUGUGGAUGUGGAGUUGAGGAGGAAUGUGCAGUCAUCUUGGAGUAGUAGUAUUUAUAACCGCAUAGUAAUACACUCCUAAGUGGGAACCGUUUAGGUUUUGAUUGAUGUGAACAGGUUUGCAAUUUGGAAUGUGACGGGACGCGGCCUCCCUGUUCUUCUAAAAAAAUUGUGACGGGAGGCAUGCUCAAAAUUUACUGACGGUUAUAAGUGCGGCACUAUUCCCGAAAGGCGUAACGUGGGCACGUACGCCUUCUUGGCCGCGUACGUGGUGUUUGCACCAUAGGGUGCACCGCAAUAGGCAAUGUCAGCACACGUCUUGUUCCAACAAUCGUGCGCGCUUGUUAUUACCAUCGCGCACGCUUCUUUUAAUUAGAAUGUGUGUGCCCGUCUAGCGCACACACGUUGAUCUAUCUAACUGUUUCAGUUUGUUGUGGCUAAUCGCAAACAGUUCAUCCAUGUGAAGUGUAUGCCAUCAAUCGCAGACACAUUGAUCUACCUAACCCAUUUCUGUUCUGUUUCCUAAUCGCAAACAGUUAAUCCUUCUGAAAGCCCUCAAUCACACACACCUUGAUCUGGCUGACCGUUUCUUUUGUGUUUCCUAAUCACAAACAGUUCAUUCGAGUGAACCGUAUGCUCUAUAUCGCACACGCCUUCAUCAGGCUGCCCGUUUCUUUUGUUCCGCCUCAUCACAAACAGUUCAUUGGACUGAACCAUAUGCCCUGGAUCGCACACGCAACUAAAAUCUAAACCGUGUUUGGUGGCUCCGCCAUCGCAAAUGUUUUUCACCUUUUUGACGGUUCUUUUACACCACCGUUUGCGAUUAUUGCAUCGCACACAGUUUCGUCCCAGGGUCUCUGAUCGUAGUGUCGCGUUAGCAGCAUCCUGCAGUAGUGUUUGAGUGAAAAAAUUGAUGCUCUUAUGAAAUUGGUUGCUAGUAAAAGUGCUCCUAUUUAUUUUAAUGAUAUGCCUUUGUCUACUUUGAUUGAGCAAAAUAAUGAUGCCAUAGAUGUGAAUUUUAUCUCUCGAAGUAAUUUCAAUAACAAUGCUUAUAGAGGUAAUUUUUAUCCUAGGACUUUUCCUAGUAAUUCCUAUAAUAAUUAUGGUAAUUCUUAUGGAAAUCAAUCUUAUAAUAAUAGGAACACCUCUGAUCUUGAUAAUAAUAUUAAAGAAUUUAUCAAUACACACAAAGUUUUCAACACCUCUAUAGAAGAAAAGUUGAGUAAGAUUGGUGAUUUGUCUAGAAGUGUUGAUAGAAUUGCUCAUGAUGUGGAAAAUCUCAAGAUGAAAUUUUUUGUGCCUAAAGUAUAUGAAUCAAUUUGUUUCUAUGGAUGAAAGUACGAAAAGAACCGCUAUGCUUAGAGCUAAAAGAGAUAUUUUAGAAAAAGCUUUUUCUACUGAUUUCUUUUGCAAAAGUGAUGAAGAUCUUAAAAUGAUUGGUGUUUCUUAUAUUGAUUCCUUGUUUAGUAAAGUUAAGAUUGAUGAAAAAGGUACUGGAGAAGAUUCAACUUUAGGUAGAAGGAGUCCCAAUAUUUCGGAGGGUGAAAAUCUUGUUGAGAAAAUUGAUGAAAGUGGGUUUGGAGAGGUCAAAACUUUAACUAGUGAUGCGCCCACUCUUUUGGAUUUCAAAGACUUUAAUUAUGAUAGUUGUUUUUUGAUUGAUUGUAUUUCUUUGUUGCAAUCCAUGAUAAAUUCACCCCAUGCUUAUGAAAAAAUAAAAGCUUUUACUAAACAUAUUGUUGAUGCUAUGAUGGAAGAUUUUGAAGAAAAAUUGGAAUUGGAAGUUUCAAUUCCUAGAAAAUUGCAUGAUGAAUGGGAACCUACUAUCAAAGUCAAGAUUAAAAAUUAUGAGUGUUUUGCUUUGUGUGACUUGGGUGCUAGUGUUUCUACAACUCCGAAAUCUUUAUGUGAUGUGCUUGGUCUUACUAAUCUUGAAGAAUGUUCUUUGAAUUUCCACUUGGCGGAUUCUACUAUUAAAAAUCCUAUGGGAAGAAGCAAUUAUGUUCUUAUUCUUGCAAAUAGUAAUUAUGUGCUCAUAGAUUUUAUUGUUCUUGAUAUUGAUUGCAAUCCGUCUUGUCGAAUUAUUCUUGGUAGACCUUUUUACGCACUAUCGGUGGCGUGAUUGAUAUGAAAGAAGGCAAUAUUAAGUUCCAAUUUCCUUUGAGGAAGGGUAUGGAAAACUUUCCUAAAACAAUAAUUAAGCCACCUUAUGAAUCAAUCAUGAGGGCAUCUUAUGGAUCAUGAACCAAGAUGACAAAACUUAGAUCCUUACUUUAUGCCUAGCUAAGGGCGUAAAACUAUAGCGCUUGUACGGAGGCAACCCAAUGAAUAAAUUUUAUUUUUGCUUUCUGCUUUCUGUUCUUGAGUGUGAGAAAAAUUAUGCUACUGUUAUGAUUUUGUUUUGUGUGUUUUAAUUAGUGUUUGUGCCAAGUAGAACCGAUAGGAUCUUCUUGGGUGAUAGUUGUUUGAUCUUGCUGAAAAAGACAGAAACUUUGCGCUCACGAAAAUAAUUCUCAUUUUUUAUCAGAAAGUGCUUUUGCACUGAUUCUUUUCGCAGAAGAUUAAUAUACAAAUUGCUCAGGUCGUCCUAUUUUUUCAGAAUUUUUGGAGUUCCAGAAGUUUUCGACAAAGUCAAAUUUCUACAGACUGUUCUGUUUUGACAUAUUCUAUUUUCUUUGUGUUGUGUGCUUAUUUUUAUGGCUCUAUGCUUUUCUUUGAUGAGUUUUUGCCAUAGAAAUUUGGAAUAUAGUAGAUAUAAUACAAAAACAAAAUAUGAAUUGGUUUGAUACAGUACUUAUAUUAGUGGUUUGCUUUAUUGCACUAACGGAUCUCACGGAGGUUUUGUUGAGUUUUGUGUGAUUGAAGUUUUCAAGUUUUGGGUUAUCUUACGAUGGAUGAAGGAAGGAUAAAAGAGCCUAAGCUUGGGGAUGCCCCGACAUCCCAAGCUAUUAUCCAAAAAUGAGCAACCAACUAAGCUUGGGGAUGCCCCCGGGUGGCAUCCCCUCUUUCUUCUAACGACCAUCGGUAUUUUACUCGAAACUAUAUUUUUAGUCGUCACAUGAUAUGUGUUUUGCUUGGAACGUCUUGUAUGAUAUGAAUCUUUGCUUGUUUUAUUUUGUGUUUUAAGUCAUCAAUCCUUCCUGGACAGACCUAUUUGAGAGAGCCAAAAUUAUGUCAUGACUUGUUAGAAUUGCUCCCUAUGCUUCACUUAAAUUUUUAUGAGCUAUGGACUUGCUCUAGUGCUACACUUAUAUCUUUUUGAGCAUGGUGUGCUUUAGUAUUUUUCAAGAAAUUGUCUCUUGCUUCACUUCAAAUAAUUUGAGAGACAGAAAAAAAUUAUGCUCAUGAUCUUCACUUAUAUUUGUUUGAGCUUAUGAAAAGCAACAUAUGAAAAUUAGUCCCAAAGUGAUAGAUAUCCAAGAAGGAUAUAAUAAAAACUUUCAUGAAGAUCAUUGGACAAAAUAAACUUGACUCUUAGUAAUAGUUUUGAGAUAUGAUGAUGUGAUAUGUGAGUUAUGUUGAUGAGUAAUUAUGCUUUAGUAAGAAUAUUGGUGUUAAGGUUUGUGAUUCCAUAUGCAAGUACGAAAGUCAAUAGUCAUGCAAUGAAAUUGUAUCCUACUUGUGGUCCAUUAUUCGGUGUUAUUUAUGCUUAAUGCUUGCUUAUGAGAUUAUCCGUUUCUUGGUUGGUCGCUUCUCAAUCUUUUGCUAGCCUUCAUUUUGCACUAAGUAUGAUCUCUACUUGUGCAUCCAAAAACCUUUAAACUAGUUUUGCCACAUGGGUCCACUAUAUCUACCUAUAUGCGGUAUUCUUUUGCCGUUCUAAGCAAAUUUGCAUGUGCUAUCUCUAAUUUUCAAAAUGAACUUCUCUUUUGUGUAUUUGUUUUGCUCGCGGAGCGGUGAGGGGUGGCUAAUAUUUUCCAUGCUAGAUGUGUUAUUCUCACGAUGAGUGUUUAUUGACUUGUCAUUGCACGAGUAAGGCAAAGGUAUUAGGGAUGCCCAGUCCUGAAAUGUUAAAAAAUGAAUUUACUUUAUGUUGUCAAAUAAUAAUUCCUUGGAAAGUGUUGGUUUGGAGGGCACCCGUGGAUACGGUUAGCCAUGGAAAGUGAAAGUACGGUGGAAAAAGGAAUAAACUUUAUUUUCUGUUUGGGAACCGGCUAUGAUAUAUCUAGCAUGGAAAGUGUUGGGAACUCUAAGUCGUUUUCGUUAGUGGGAUGGAUACACCUCCCAAAAUGUUUUUAUCUCUAAGUUUUUCGCUUUGAGCUCUGGCACCUCUACAAAUCCCUACUUCCCUCAGCGAAGGGCCUUUCCUUUUACUUUAUGCAAUUUUUAUUUUUUUGAGUCUCCAUCUUCUCUUAUAAAAGCACCAACUAGGAGGCAAUAUGAUUGUACUUAAGUAUUGGGUGUAGCUAAUAUUCGAGUGUGUUUCAUGAAUGGAUCAAUGGUUGAGCAUGAUGGGCUAGGGGUAACUUAUUUUAGCGUUGAUAUUUUGAAAGACAUGGUUGCUUGUUGAUAUGCUUGAGUAUCUAAAUGAUCAUGUCAAAACUAGACUAUUGCUUUGAACAACUAAAAGUCCAAAUGUCCAUGCUAUGAAGAAAAGAAAUAUGAUAUGACAUGUUAGGCAGCAUUCCACAUCAAAAAUUCUGUUUUAUCACUUACCUACUCGAGGACGAGUAGGAGUUAAGCUUGGGGAUGCUGAUAAGUCUCCAACGUAUCUAUAAUUUUUUAUUCUUCCAUGCUGUUAUAUUAUCAAUCUUGGAUGUUUUAUAGUCAUUUUAUAUCAUUUUUUGGUACUAACCUAUUGGCAUAGUGCCAAGUGCCAGUUGCUGUUUUUUCCAAGUUUUUUACAUCGCAGAAAAUCAAUAUCAGACGGAGUCCAAAUGCCCCGAAACUUUACAGAGAAUUUUUAUGGGCCAGAAGGAACACAACGGGCACUGGCUGCGCCUGGGGUGCCCCGAGGGGGGCACAACCCACCAGGGCACGCCAGGAGGCCCAGCGCCCUGGUGGGUUGUGCCCACCUCGGGUGCCCCCGGACCGCCUCUUCGCUCUAUAAAUACCCCAAUAUUCCAGAAACCCUAAAGGCAAUCGACGAAAUAUUCAUCCAGCCGCCGUAGAGUCCAGAACCACCAGAUCCAAUCUAGACACCAUCUCAGAUGGGGUUCACCACCACCAUUGGUGCCUCUCCGAUGAUGCGUGAGUAGUUCUUUGUAGACCUUUGGGUCUGUAGUUAGUAGCUAGAUGGCUUUCUCUCUCUCGCUGGAUUCUCAAUACAAUGGUCUCUUGGAGAUCCAUACGAUGUAACUCUUUUGUGGUGUGUUUGUUGGGAUCUGAUGAACUUUGAGUUUAUGAUCAGUUAUAUCUUUUUAUAUCCAUGAAAGUUAUUUGAGUUUCUUUGAUCUCUUAUAUGCAUGAUUGCUUAUAGUCUCGUAUUUCUUCUCCGAUAUUUGGGUUUUGUUUGUCCAACUUGAUCUAUUUAUCUUGCAAUGGGAAGAGGUGCUUUGUAGUGGGUUCGAUCUUAUGGUGCUUGAUCCGAGUGACAGAAAGGGAACCGACAUGUAUGUAUCGUUGCUACUAAGGAUAAAACGAUGGGGUCUAUCUAUACAUAGAUAGACCUUGUCUACAUCAUGUCAGUGUUCUUAUUGCAUUACUCCAUUUCUCCAUGAACUUAAUACAUUAGAUGCAUGCUGGAUAGCGGUCGAUGUGUGGAGUAAUAGUAGUAGAUGCAGGCAGGAGUCGGUCUACUAAUCUUGGACGUGAUGCCUAUAUAAUGAUCAUUGCCUGGAUAUCGUCAUGAUUAUUCGAAGUUCUAUCAAUUGCCCAACAGUAAUUUGUUUACCCACUGAGGGAGUCCUGCAUUAGGGGGUCCCCGGGCGUCCGGGCUAUGUGACAUGGGCCGGACUGAUGGGCCGUGAAGAUACAAGAUAGAAGGCCUUCUCCCGUGUCCGGAUGGGACUCUCUUUUGCGUGGAUGGCAAGCUUGGCAUUCAAAAGUUUCCUUUCUCUGUAAACCGACUCUAUACGACGCUAGGUCCCUCCGAUUUCUGUAUAAACCAGAGGGUUUAGUCCAUAGAGGCAAUCAUAAUCAUACAGGCUAGACAUCUAGGGUGUAGCUGUUACGAUCUCGAGGUAGAUCAACUCUUGUAACCCCUAUACUCAUCAAAGUGAAUCAAGCACGAAAUAGGGUAUUACCUCCGUUAAGAGGGCCCGAACCUGGGUAAACACCGUGUCCCUUGUCUCCUGUUACCUUCGAUACUCAGACGCACAGUUCGGGACCCCCUACCCGAGAUCGGCCGGUUUUGACACCGACGUUGGUGCUCUGUGUCGUCGACAGAAGGCUCGAUGGCUCGUUCGAUCAUCGACAACGAUGCCGUUUCCGGGGAAGUUUUCCUCCCCGGCCAGAUCUUUGUAUUCGGUGGCUUCGUUCUACGUGCGAACUUGAUUGGCCACCUCGAACAGAUCGACAGCUAAGCCCCUGGUCAUCAGACCCGUUUCGGGAACCUAAAUUAUGUUGCUAAUAUCCGAGGAGACUUGAUCUUCAAAGGGUUCGCGGCCCCCACCACGGCUCUGGCCUCAGAUCCGGAGCCAACCACCAGAUCAGAAGAAGGGAGUUCGGAACCCACCGGACUCUCCAUUGCAAAUCACCUUAUCGAGGAUCCGGAGGCAAAUAUGUCCACGAUGAACUUGGAAUCAGUCCAGGACGCCCCUAUCAUUGAAAGGCCGGACUCGCCCCCGAACUCCAGAUCCGAACUCUCGGAGUCCGCGCCAAGUAGGCAGGGUCAGGAGGCUCUCACAUCGGCCAGCCCCGCGGACCCACGCAUCCACGUCCAAACCUCGCUCUUAAACGAGGAUCUGGACCUAAUGCGAUCAUUCGCCAUUACAGAGGAAUCGCCUCCGAACUUCGCUCAGCCCGGACUAGGGGCUGAAAGCAGGGAAUUUUACGUCCCACCCACCACCCACUUCAUAGCCGUUGUCGAAGAUUUAACUGACAUGCUGGACUACGCCUCCGAAGGCAUCGACGACAUGGACGACAAUGCCGGAGACGAACACGGCCAAGACCCGCUAUCUACCGGACGUUGGACGGCCACCUCCACAUAUGAUGUGUAUAUGGCGGACACACCCAAAGAGGAUGACGACGAUGGCAAGAAGGAUCCGGUUGAGGACAAGCCUUCUGAAGCACCUCCAAAGCGUCGACGUCAGCGGCGCCGCUUAAAAUCGCCUCGCGAAAAAGUCAGCAAUACCGACACCGGAGACAAUAACACUCCGGAGAAUGCCAAAGACCCCGAAGCCCGUGUCGAGCCAACAUCCGAACAUGAUGAUUGGGAGGAUGGGCAAGUUAACCCCGACGAUUCGGUCGGGAACAAGGACUCGGAGGAUAGUAACUAUCUACCGAUCUCCGAGGAGGAUGUGAGCCUCGGCGACAAAGACUUCAUCGUGCCAGAGGAACCCCUCGAACAAGAGCGCUUUAAGCGCCGGCUAAUCGCCACUGCAAGAAUCCUAAAAAAGAAGCAACAGUAGCUUCAAGCUGAACAGGAUACACUCAAUCAUAGAUGGACCAAAGUCCUGGCAGCCGAGGAAUACAGCCUCGAAUGCCCAACUAAGAGCUACCCGAAGCGCAAGCUACUACCACAAUUUGACGACGAGGUCCUUUAGCCAAUACCGCCAAAGGAUAAACCUGCUGACGAACCUGACCGACCACCACAUGGACGAGACAGACCGGCUACUCACGCCGAACACCAGCCCGCGCCACCCCGCCAUCGAGGCAAGGAGGCAGCGGCCCCAGGCUAUACCUACGACCUACGCAAGGACCUGGACAAUAGAGUCGGUCAGACAAUAUCAAUCUAUGGAUCAAGGGGGCAUGCUCCAACACGAGAGGACGGCCACCAGGCCUGGCGCGACAGGCACAAACUCACCCGGGUCGAAAACCGCACACGGACUUCAUCCGAACUGCGCCACGACUUCGCCUGAUACAGAGGCGCCGCACACCCCUUAUGCUUCACCGAUGAGGUGAUGGAGUACCAGUUCCCAGAAGGGUUUAAACCCAUGAAAAUUGAAUACUACGAUGGUACGACGGCUCCCGCAGUAUGGAUCGAAGAUUUUCUUCUCCACAUUCACAUGGCUCGCAGCGAUGACCUCCACGCCAUCACGUACCUUCCCCUAAAAUUCAAGGGGCCAGCACGGCACUGGUUAAACAGCCUCCCAGAGAACUCUAUUGGUAGUUGGGAAGACUUGGAAGCUGCCUUUAGAGACAACUUCCAAGGUACCUAUGUUCGGACUCCAGACACCGAUGACCUUAGUCACAUAGUCCAGCAACCUGGAGGAUCAGCCCGGAAACUCUGGACCAGGUUCUUAAUUAAAAGAAACCAAAUUGUGGAUUGUCCGGACACCGAAGCCCUCGCGGCCUUUAAACACAGCGUCCGAGACGAGUGGCUUGCCCGACACCUCGGCCAAGAAAAAUCAAAGUCCAGGGCAGCCAUUACCGCACUUAUGACCCACUUCUGUGCGGGAGAAGAUAACUAGCUAGCUCGUAGAAGCAAUAGCACCAGCGACCCUGGCACCUCCGAAGCCAGAGAUGGCAACGACAAGCCACGACGAAACAAACACAAGCGUUGAAGCAAUACCGAAGAUACCGAAGACAUGACGGUCAAUGCCGGAUUCAGUGGCUCUAAACCCGGUCAGCGAAAGAAGCCAUUCAAAGGAAACAAGGAUUGUCCAUCUAGUUUGGACAGAAUACUCGAUCGGCCUUGCCAGAUUCAUGACACCCCUGACAAGCCUGCCAAUCAUACCAACAAAAAUUGUUGGGUCUUUAAACAGGCCGGCAAGCUAAACGCCGAACAUAAGGGGAAGGGGCCGCCCAGCAAGGACGAUGAUGAAGAGCCUCACCCCCCGAGCACAGGGGACAGAAGAAAUUUCCCCCCAAGGUAAAAACAGUGAAUAUGAUAUAUGCUACACAUAUCCCCAAAAGGGAGCACAAGCGCGCACUAAAGGACGUCUAUGCCAUAGAGCUAGUCGCCCCAAAAUUCAACCCAUGGUCAGCCUGUCCGAUCACUUUCGAUCACAGAGACCACCCGACCAGUAUCCGUCAUGGAGGUUCGAUAGCAUUGGUCCUCGACCCAAUUAUCGACGGAUUCCAUCUCAUGCGCGUCCUCAUGGAUGGCGAUAGCAGCCUUAAUCUGCUUUAUCAGGACAUUGCCCGCAAGAUGGGUAUCGAUUCAUCAAGGAUCAAGCCCACUAAAACUACCUUUAAAGGAGUAAUACCCGGCGUUGAGGCCUGUUGCACAGGGUCCAUAACACUGGAGGAAGUCUUCGGUUCGCCGGAUAAUUUCCGUAGCGAAGACUUGAUCUUCGAUAUCACCCCUUUCCGUAGUGGCUAUCACACACUGCUCGGGAGAACCGCCUUCGCCCGCUUCAAUGCGGUCCUGCACUACGCUUACUUAAAGCUCAAAAUGCUUGGACCCUGCGGCGUUAUUACAGUUAAUGGAAACAUGGAGCGCUCCCUCCGUACUGAGGAGCAUACCGCGGCCCUCGCAGCCGAAGCACAUGGUGGCCUUGUCAACCGAAUACUACUUCGGCAGUCAAGCCCCCGGACACAAUAAAACGAGUCCAGUCUUCCCCCACAGAACGAUAGUCCGGCUCGUCUAGAGCUAGAUUAGCAAUCCGGCCUCCGUCACAACCCCAGAUGGAUAGCGGCAUACGUACCGCGCGUACAUAACGACGCACUAAAGAUACCAUGGACAAGGACGGAGGCAUACUAAAGACAAAGUCCACGGUACGUGUUGGGGAUAUAACUAUUGGGUUUAACUCGCCCAGGAGGGGCCGGGUUAAGCCCCUGGUGGUUCAUCAAGACAAAGCCCAUGAAGAUGCUUAAGACGGUAGUUCACUACGCAGAUUCAUCGAGGGCCUGAAGCCCAAAGGCGACUUAAGGCCCAAACAAGUGUAAACCGCCAUAUAUGUGUAACUUGUAUUAUAAGGCAUGUACAGUUAGUCACCGAGCCGGACACGUUGUUUAUGAGCCGACCGGGACUCUGUAAGCCGCUGGGCGUCGACCUGUGUAUAUAAAGGGACGACCCGGCGGUGAGUUAGGACAAGAAACAACAGAUCAAAGCUAGGUCAAGCGUAUUCGCUCCCUGGUAAUCGAGACAUAAGCAAUACCACCUCAAACUGGAUUAGGCCUUUACCUUCACCGCAAGGGUCCGUACCAGUAUAAAUUCCUUGUGUCCUUUGUCCCGUUUAACCCCUUUAAGAUAACCCUGUUGCGAUGGCUCCACGACUAAGUCCUUCUGCUAGGACAUCUGCCGUGACAUUUCCACGACAGUUGGUGCCCACCAUGGGGCCAGCGCACGGUGGUUUCGAGUACUUACAGUGCCGGAUGACCAAGAGUCGCCGCGGCAAGCUCUACAUCGAUGACGCGGGCUGGGGCCCCGAGGCCGGCUCAAUCGAGUAUGGGUACCGGGUCCCCUUCGGCAAGAUUCACGUCUUCAUCGGAAAGAUCGGCGAACCGGGCCCUGAGCCGGACAUCUGCACCGACAUCAUCGAGAUGGCUCAGCAUGCACGACCCGCCCGGGCUCAACCCGCCAUGAAGCACGCCUUCGUUGGAUUCAUCCAUGGGGCGGAAUUUGAGGAAGGAUCUGUGUCUGGCGGAGAGACGGCCACCUAUUCUGAUGGUGAGUCAUCCACGGGCGAGACUACUUCAUUGUAUCAACUGCAAGAUGGCAUGCUUGGGGGCUGUUCCGAUGGCGAUAGUAUUCCGGACCCCUGUGAGCCGCCAAACUGGGUUUCAAUUUUCAUGGCCGGUACACAGUCAGGGCAGAAUUCUACUACUGCAGCAGUGAUGGUUUCCGGGUCAGCAGCGGCAACGGCGGCCGGGGCAGGAGGCCCUGUGCGCCCGCCGGCUCAGGUCUUGUCCGGCUUGUUGGACACUCUGACAACAUUAUUAACAUCAGAAGUUAACCCGAAUGGUUGAGGCACCUGGGGGUGGAACACUGGCUCAGCCACGCGCAACAGACCCGCCCUGUCUAAAUAAUACCCCGCCACAGUAUGUGCCGACACCACCGGUUCAUUAUUCUAACCCUUUGGAUAAUAUGGUCACUGUGGCGACGUGGUUGGCGGCUCUCCUAGUUGAAGGCGAGUCUCCAGCUGCAAUUGAAACACGGAGGGCUAGAGAGCUUCUUCAGACAGCACGGGUACAACAGGAUGCUUAUUCUUAUAGUCGAGAGAGGAUUCACUCAACCCCUCGCCCGAUCCAGAGUUAUAGCAGGCACAUUGACUCACCAGUCGUUUCAAGCAGUAACAGACACCGUAACCAGCCUCGUGGACAUAACCUGGCGUGCGGUGGUGCUAAUGCUCAGGAUCUGGUGGAUCAGGGUAGAGCACGUCAGGAAGUCGAUUUGGCGGCUCAGUAAGGGGCUCAUCAACGUUCUCCAGUUUAUCUAAGAACUUCGGUGGAGACAGGGGUAACCUCCAGAACCUUGGGAGUGCCAUGUUUGGUGCCAGCUUUGCGUAACGUACGUUUGCCUAAGGAUUUCAAGGGUCCUCGUAAGGUGCCUAACUACACAGCUGACUUACCCCCUCAAGCUUGGGUUGAGAGUUAUGAGAUGGCAGUGGAGCUGUUGGAUGUUGACGAUGCUGCAUGUGCUAAGUACUUCACGAUGAUGUUGUAAGGGACGGCCCGCACUUGCUUGAAAGGGCUGCCUGCUAACUCCAUUGGAUCAUGGGCCGAGUUAAAAGCUCGGUUUAUCCAGAAUUUUAAAGAUACAUGCAAGCAGCCUAUGUCGAUUGUGGAUCUGGAUUCCUGUGUCCAAGAAGAAGGCGAGUCAACGACCCAUUGGGUGUGCCGGGUCUCGACUAUCCUACAUUCAUCGGAUCAUAUUUAUGCCGGCUCAGCAGUCUUGAUGUUAGAGAAGAAUUGUUGUUUUAUGCCCCUUAAGCAGAAGUUAUGGCGGCUCAAGCGCCACUGCAGUGACAUGGGGGAGCUGAUGGCGGCUCUUGUUAAGUAUGCUGACUCUGAUAGUACCAAGGACCCCGAGUCUGAUGAAAAGCCGGGAAAUGGAAAGAAGAGUAGCAGUACCAUAGGGCAGCAACAUAACCCGACGAGUCAGGGAGGCAACGGUAAGCGCAAAGCUGAUAAUAAUUUGGAUUUUGUGGCUAACACCAAUACAACCACCUCCACGGAUUGGGGGGGGGCAGGUUUCGAUCUUGAGCGGCAGCUGAAUCUGCCCUGUCCAAGGCGUGGUACAUGGGAAAGGUCGUCCACUCACCUCUGGAAGGAUUGCUUUAUUAUGAAGGAGUACAAAAAUUCCAAUUUUUUUCAAGACAAUCAUGGGCCGGUCGGCGGCUCAGGUUCCGGCUCUCAUGGUCCGGGUUACGAUGGUGGCGGUUCUAGUUCCGGUUUUCAAGGCCAAGGUAAUCAGGGUGGUUACAACCAACAGAACAAUCAGGGGAAUCAGCAGCAGCAAUCUGGUUAUCAGAGUAACCCGAAGUAGUUGAAUAGUGGGAAGUACCACAUUUUCACCACAAGUUUAUGAAAGCAGGAUCAGAAGCUCCAAAAAAGAGCAGUGAACGCCGUUGAGUCAGCGGUUCCCCGUUACUUGCGAUGGUCUGAACAGCCCAUUGUGUGGAGUCAUGAGGAUCACCCGCCCCGGGUUGAUAAUCCGGGUCACUUGGCGCUGGUGGUGGCGCCUCAGGUUGGAGGAUACAAAUUCACCAAGGUGCUCAUGGAUGGAGGCAGCAGCAUCAAUAUCCUUUACUAUGAUACUUUCCGUUGCAUGGGAUUGACUGACAAAAAUAUUAAGUCAUUGAAUACAGUUUUUCAUGGUGUGGUGCCUCACAAGUCGGCAUAUCCGGUUGGUAAAACAUCUCUGGAGGUUGACUUUGGAGAUGAUUAUGAUUCCAGACCUAAGAUGUUGACCUUUGAAGUGUUUAAAAUCAAGAGCCCUUAUCAUGCUCUGUUUGGGCGGCCGGCUUAUGCUAAGUUCAUGGCAAGGCCUUGUUAUGUUUAUUUGCAGCUGAAGAUGCCAGGUCACAAGGGCACUAUAACAGUGCAUGGGAGUCGCAAAGUAGCCAUGGAGUGUGAAGAAGGCGAUGCUGCUUAUGCUGAGUCUGUUUGUGCGACAGAGGAGUUGAAGUUUUACAAGGAUAAUGCCGGCGAAUAUGACAUCUUUAAAAAAGCCAACCACAUAGCAUGACCCUUUGUUGAUGUUUAAGUCGGCAGACGACACCAAGCUAGUUGACUUUGUUCCUGGCGACUCAUCCAAGCAGUUCAUUAUCAGUGCUAAUUUGGAUUCAAAAUAGGAAAGCGCGCUCUAAUGUCUACUACACAACCUUCUUCUCAUAGACGUUGUUGGGCCUCCAAGUACAGAGGUUUGUAGGACAGUAGCAAAUUUCCCUCAAGUGGAUGACCUAAGGUUUAUCAAUCCGUGGGAGGCCUAGGAUGAAGAUGGUCUCUCUCAAACAACCUUGCAACCAAAUAACAAAGAGUCUCUUGUGUCCCCAACACACCCAAUACAAUGGUAAAUUGUAUAGGUGCACUAGUUCGGCGAAGAGAUGGUGAUACAAGUGCAAUAUGGAUGGUAGAUAUAGGUUUUUGUAAUCUAAAAAUAUAAAAACAGCAAGGUAACUAAUGAUAAAAGUGAGCGAAAACGGUAUUGCAAUGCGUUGAAACAAGGCCUAGAGUUCAUACUUUCACUAGUGCAAGUUCUCUCAACAAUAAUAACAUAAUUGGAUCAUAUAACUAUCCCUCAACAUGCAACAAAGAGGCACUCCAAAGUCACUAAUAGCGGAGAACAAACAAAGAGAUUAUUGUUGGGUACGAAACCACCUCAAAGUUAUCUUUUCUAAUCGAUCUAUUCAAGAGUCUGUAGUAAAAUAACACAAAGCUAUUCUUUCCGUUCGAUCUAUCCUAGAGUUCGUACUAGAAUAACACCUUAAGACACAAAUCAACCAAAACCCUAAUGCCACCUAGAUACUCCAAUGUCACCUCAAGUAUCCGUGGGUAUGAUUAUACGAUGUGCAUCACACAAUCUCAGAUUCAUCUAUUCAACCAACACAAAGAACUUCAAAGAGUGCCCCAAAGUUUCUACCAGAGAGUCAAGACGAAAACGUGUGCCAACCCCUAUGCAUAGAUUCCCAAGGUCACGGAACCCGCAAGUUGAUCACCAAAACAUACAUCAAGUGAAUCAAUAGAAUACCCCAUUGUCACCACGGGUAUCCCACGCAAGACAUACAUCAAGUGUUCUCAAAUCCUUAAAGACUCAAUCCGAUAAGAUAACUUCAAAGGGAAAACUCAAUCCACCACAAGAGAGUAGAGGGGGAGAAACAUCAUAAGAUCCAACUAUAAUAGCAAAGCUCGCCGUACAUCAAGAUCAUGCCAAAUCAAGAACACGAGAGAGAGAGAGAUCAAACAUAUAGCUACUGGUACAUACCCUCAGCCCCGAGGGUGAACUACUCCCUCCUCGUCAUGGAGAGCGCCGGGAUGAUGAAGAUGGCCACCGGUGAGGGAUCCCCCUCUGGCAGGGUGCCGGAAUAGGGCCCCGAUUGGUUUUUUGUGGCUACAGAGUUUUUCGGCGGCGGAACUCCCAAUCUAGGUUAUGUUCUGGAAGUUUGGGUAUAUAUAAGAGGUAUUGGCAUCGGGAACAAGUCAGGGGGGUCUCCGAGGCGGCCACAAGGUAGGGGGCGCGCCCAGGGGGUAGGGCGUGCCCCCCACCCUCGUGGGUGCCUCGGGACGCUUCUGGGCCAUCUCCGAUACUCCGUGGGCAUCUUCUGGUCCCAAAAUAAACUCCGUGAAAUUUGAGGUCAAUUGGACUCCGUUUGGUUUUCCUUUUCUGUGAUACUCAAAAACAAGGAAAAAACAGAAACUGGCACUGGGCUCUAGGUUAAUAGGUUAGUCCCAAAAAUCAUAUAAAAUAGCAUAUAAAACAUCCUAGAUGGAUAAUAUAAUAGCAUGGAACAAUCAAAUAUUAUAGAUACGUUGGAUACGUAUCAAGCAUCCCCAAGCCUAAUUCCUGCUUGUCCUCGAAUAGGUAAAUGAUAAAAAAAGAAUUUUUGAUGUGGAAUGCUACCUAACAUAAUUUUCAAUGUAAUUUUCUUUAUUGUGGAAUGAAUGUUCAGAUCCGAAAUAUCCAAUACAAAAGUUUAAUAUUGACAUAAAAAUAAUAAUACUUCAAGCAUACUAACCAAGCAAUUAUGUCUUAUCAAAAUAACAUAGCCAAAGAAAGCUCAUCCCUACAAAAUCAUAUAGUUUGGCCAUACUUCAUUUUCGUCACACAAAAAUGCUCUUAUCAUGCACAACCCCGAUGACAAGCCAAGCAAUUGUUUCAUACUUUAGUAUUCUCAGACUUUUUCAACUUUCACGCAAUACAUGAGAGUGAGCCAUGGACAUAGCACUAUGGGUGGAAUAGAAUAUGAUGAGGGGGUUGUGUGGAGAAGACAAAAAAGGAGAAAGUCUCACAUUGACGCGGCUAAUCAACGGGCUAUGGAGAUGCCCAUCAGUUGAUGUCAAUGCGAGGAGCAGGGAUUGCCAUGCAACGGAUGCACUAGAGCUAUAAAUGUAUGAAAGCUCAACAAAAGAAACUAAGUGGGUGUGCAUCCGACUUGCUUGCUCACGAAGACCUAGGGCAUUUGAGGAAGCCCAUUGUUGGAAUAUACAAGCCAAGUUCUAUAAUGAAAAAUUUCCACUAGUAUAUGAAAGUGACAAAAUAAGCGACUCUCUAUCAUGAAGAUCAUGGUGCUGCUUUGAAGCACAACUGUGGAAAAAGGAUAGUAGCAUUGUCCCUUCUAUCUCUUUUUUUUAAACGGGACAAUGCUCUAAUAAUGAUGAUCAUCACACUUCUAUUUAUUUUACAACUCAAAGAUUACAACUCGAUACUAGAACAAGAUAUAACUCUAUAUGACUGCCUCCGGCGGUGUACCGGGAUGGGCAAUGAAUCAAGAGUGACAUGUAUGAAAAAUUAUGCAUGGUGGCCUUGCCACAAAUACGAUGUCAACUACAUGAUCAUGCAAGGCAAUAUGACAAUGAUGAAUCAUAUCAUAAUAAACGGAACGGUGGAAAGUUGCGUGGCAAUAUAUCUCGGAAUGGCUAUGGAAAUGCCAUAAUAGGUAGGUUGGUGGCUGUUUUUGAGGAAGACAUAAGGAGGCUCAUGUGUGAUAGAGCGUAUCAUAUCACGGGGUUUGGAUGCACCGGCGAAGUUUGCACCAACUCUCAAGGUGAGAAAGGGCAAUGCACGGUACCGAAGAGGCUAGCAAUGAUGGAAGGGUGAGAGUGCGUAUAAUCCAUGUACUCAACAUUAGUCAUAAAGAACUCACAUACUUAUUGCAAAAAUCUACAAGUCAUCAAAACCAAGCACUACGCGCAUGCUCCUAGGGGGAUAGAUUGGUAGAAAAAGACCAUCGCUCGUCCCUGACCACCACUCAUAAGGAAGGCAAUCAAAGAAACACCUCAUGCUUCAAAUUUGUUACACAACGGUUACCAUACGUGCAUGCUACGGGACUUGCAAACCUCAACACAAGUAUUUCUCAAUUCCACAAUUACUCAACUAGCAUGCCUCUAAUAUUACCAUCUUCAUAUCUCAAAACAAUCAUCAAGUAUCAAACUUCUCAUAGUAUUCAAUGCACUCUAUAUGAAAGUUUUUAUUAUACCCAUAUUGGAUUCACAUCAUAUUAGGACUAAUUUUAUAACCAAAGAAAAUUACCAUGCUGUUCUAAAAGACUCUCAAAAUAAUAUAAAUGAAGCAUGAUAGAUCAACAAUUUCUUCAAAAUGAAACUACCGUCAUGCUCUAAGAAGAUAUAAGUGAAGCACUAGAGCAAAUGACAAACUACCCAAAAGAUAUACUCCCUCUAUACCGAUAUAUUUGUCGUUGGGGGAUUAUUCCGACCAGGUGAAAACGGGAAAAUGUACCAAACUACCCCUAAUUUGAAAUACUUGUCGCUGGGGAUCGUCGUCUUCCUCCAUCCGCCAUCCGCCCCGCACCCCCGGCGUCCUCAGCUCCUUCACCCUCCGCUGCAGCUCCGGCGUCCUUCCCCGCCGGCCGCCUUCCUCCGCUCCAAUCGAGAGCCUGAGGUCGAUCAACCGCUGGUAUGCCAUCCGCCACAGCGCCGGCGUCCUUCCCAAAUUGAUCCACAUCUCCUGUCCACUACCGCUCCUCUUGAAUUGAUCCAUAGCUCCAAUCCACUGCUGCUCCUCUCAAAUUGAUCCACAGCUCCAAUCCUCUGCUGCUCCGCUGCUUGAUUUUGGCUCCGAUCGUGGUAUAGCUGGUUGUUGAUCCCCUGAGGUAGUGAAGUCCGCCG
RNAcentral lists this long non-coding RNA (41656 nucleotides) under Triticum aestivum (bread wheat). RNAcentral describes it as "long non-coding RNA (TAES_LNC004264)". The record is from RNAcentral. Lineage: Eukaryota; Viridiplantae; Streptophyta; Magnoliopsida; Poales; Poaceae.